UAAAUAGCUUUGUGCUGUUACCAGAGUGACACUAUGCAUCACACAAUGCAAAUUGUUUACUGAAAACAUCUAUCUUUUUUAAUGGGUCAAGAAGACCAGGUAGCCAGAUGAUACACUUACUUCUGGCCUUGUGCAACACAUAAUGACUUCUUUGUCCUUUUGUUUUCUAUAAUAUUUUUUUUAGAGCAAGUGGAUUGGCCUACUUCAUCAUGUCUGUGACUCCCAUGAGUGGUUGGGCGGCAGGUGUGACCGUGAUGAUCAAAUCCAUGAUCCCAACUUAACAUGGUUUGACCGGCAUGACAAAGACUUUGCAGAAUUGCAGAAAGUCAUCUUAAACCCAGAGCUGCUUGACAACUUCCGAUUCUAUGUUAGAUUCAGGUAACCAAGUGGCAUGAAUCUGCAAGUUGUCAUUUUGUCUUAGUACAGAAUACUACAUGUACUUUGUGCAUAGCUCAAAUAUAAAAUAUUCAUAUUCAUAUGUAUACAUCAAAAGUGUGUUAAAUUUUAUAGCAUCCACAGGUCAACAUCCUAAUAUACAGAUUAUAAUUUGCACUUAGCCGGGGACUAUUGUCACAGCAUUGAGAUAUGAUUCGAAGAUAGUCUUGAAAAUAUUCUGUUUUUUAUUUCAGGCACACUCGCAGAAUAGAGUGUGCAAACAGCCUGACCCUUGCAUACACUCCAAAGAGAGCACUGCUAAGCUAUAAAGCUUACAAGGCAAGGAAGUAUAUUGCUACAUUUGACUGGAAUUCCUAUUUGGAUCUCCCAGCAGCCACAAGCAAGUCUGGGAAUGAAAUCACCUCCAGGAGAUGUAAUCAGAGAACUCAGCGGUGGGAUGUAAGAACAGUAAAACAAAACAAAACCUUUGAGUGGAGGACAAUGAUCUCGUGGCACGCAAUGUGUCACUGAAUGAAAGCUAUCCACGUUUAGUGUCACCCACAAUUGCUGCAAAGCCUCCCCCUUUCUCGAAGGAACUGUUGGUUAGAAAAAGCAGGUUUAUUGUGCCCUCUAAGCAUGCAAAAUCAACAUCUGGUCAGGAUUUGGGGGAAAUGUUGUCAAAUGAAUAAUUUUUCCGCAAUAUUUAUUUCAUAUAAUGUGUAAACAUACAAUGUACAUCCACUUAGAAACUCACUGGGCCAUUAUGUUAUCAAACAAAAAAUAUGGAAAAUGUUCCAUUUUGAUACAACAUGAUAAUUACACCAGGGAAUAUUAUUUAGACUUUCGAUUCUCUACAAAUAUCAGUGUUUAUAUUUCUAUUGAAGGAGUGAAUCAAUGAGCAGGGAAAACACCUGUGGUAACUUGAAAUGACAAUUAAUGGACCACUGUAUUUUUUAUUGAACUGCAAUGCAUAUGCAUGACACCUGCACAAGAGUGAAAAAAAAAAUUUGUACCACUGAGAAAAAGUUAAGUUUGUAUAUUUAGUCACAAGUACAUCCCUCUAGGCGGUGUAUCAGAAAAGUUCAGAGUACAUCAACUAAGCAGUAAAAUAGUCCAUUGUAUCAAGUGUGAGUUACUGUAUUUUGUAAGAGGAACAUGUGGAAGGGUUUUACCUUGGCCACUCUAAAAACUCUAACACUUCGCUUUUCCCAUUUACCAAAAUCUCCAACUUCUUGAAACAACUGCUUUUAUCAAAGCUGGAAAACCAAACACUCAGAAAUUUGGUAUGAAUAACUCAACACCACAAUUCAAGGUCACCAUAAGCUUUCACAUUCAUAAGUGAUAAGCACAGUUAUCUAUAUUGACAUGUAGCCAGAAUGCAGUCUCGUACAUAAUGUCGGUGCUCCCAAUAUCCCAUGUAAACCCCUGUGACUGAUGGGUAUUGCUCGUGUAUUUUCAAAACUACACAUGAAGGACAAACACGCCUGUUUCCUUUACCAAGACGGCCAUACUUUGCUAA
Molecule: long non-coding RNA, 1894 nt
Organism: Orbicella faveolata
Lineage: Eukaryota; Metazoa; Cnidaria; Anthozoa; Scleractinia; Merulinidae
Source: RefSeq, a predicted model, not a curated record